UACGUAGGUGGCGAGCGUUGUCCGGAUUUACUGGGCGUAAAGAGCGCGCAGGCGGUCGUUCAAGUCGCGUGUGAAAGCCCCCGGCUCAACUGGGGAGGGUCACGCGAUACUGAUCGACUCGAAGGCAGGAGAGGGAAGUGGAAUUCCCCGGUGUAGUGGUGAAAUGCGUAGAUAUUAGGAAGAACACCAGUGGCGAAGGCGGCUCACUGGCCCGGUACUGACGCUGAGGCGCGAAAGCGUGGGGAGCAAACAGGG
Molecule: ribosomal RNA, 255 nt
Filed under: uncultured bacterium
Lineage: Bacteria
Description: partial 16S ribosomal RNA
Rfam family: Bacterial small subunit ribosomal RNA
Source: RNAcentral